RNAcentral lists this ribosomal RNA (465 nucleotides) under uncultured ammonia-oxidizing beta proteobacterium. Its description in RNAcentral is "bacterial SSU rRNA". It matches the Rfam family "Bacterial small subunit ribosomal RNA", at positions 198 to 644 of the family's 1533-position model. The record is from RNAcentral. Lineage: Bacteria; Pseudomonadati; Pseudomonadota; Betaproteobacteria.
GGAGGAAAGCAGGGGAUCGCAAGACCUCGCGUUAAUGGAGCGGCCGAUGCCGGAUUAGCUAGUUGGUGGGGUAAAGGCUCACCAAGGCGACGAUCCGUAGCUGGUCUGAGAGGACGACCAGCCACACUGGGACUGAGACACGGCCCAGACUCCUACGGGAGGCAGCAGUGGGGAAUUUUGGACAAUGGGCGCAAGCCUGAUCCAGCCAUGCCGCGUGAGUGAAGAAGGCCUUCGGGUUGUAAAGCUCUUUCGCAAGGAAAGAAAACUUAUCUCCUAAUACGAGAUGAGGAUGACGGUACCUUGAUAAGAAGCACCGGCUAACUACGUGCCAGUAGCCGCGGUAAUACGUAGGGUGCGAGCGUUAAUCGGAAUUACUGGGCGUAAAGCGUGCGCAGGCGGUUUCGUAAGUCAGAUGUGAAAUCCCCGGGCUCAACCUGGGAACUGCGUUUGAAACUACAAAGCUAG